GACGAACGCUGGCGGCGUGCUUAACACAUGCAAGUCGAGCGGUAAGGCCCUUUCGGGGGUACACGAGCGGCGAACGGGUGAGUAACACGUGGGUGACCUGCCCUUAGCUCUGGGAUAAGCCUGGGAAACUGGGUCUAAUACCGGAUACGACUCCGCGGUGCAUGCUGUGGGGUGGAAAGCCUUGUGCGGCUGGAGAUGGGCCCGCGGCCUAUCAGCUUGUUGGUGGGGUGAUGGCCUACCAAGGCGACGACGGGUA
RNAcentral lists this ribosomal RNA (256 nucleotides) under uncultured bacterium. RNAcentral's name for it is "partial 16S ribosomal RNA". It matches the Rfam family "Bacterial small subunit ribosomal RNA", at positions 28 to 285 of the family's 1533-position model. The record is from RNAcentral.